CCUACGGGUGACAGCAGUCGAGAAUCAUUCACAAUGGGGGAAACCCUGAUGGUGCGACGCCGCGUGGGGGAAUGAAGGUCUUCGGAUUGUAAACCCCUGUCAUGUGGGAGCAAAUUAAAAAGAUAGUACCACAAGAGGAAGAGACGGCUAACUCUGUGCCAGCAGCCGCGGUAAUACAGAGGUCUCAAGCGUUGUUCGGAAUCACUGGGCGUAAAGCGUGCGUAGGCUGUUUCGUAAGUCGUGUGUGAAAGGCGCGGGCUCAACCCGCGGACGGCACAUGAUACUGCGAGACUAGAGUAAGGGAGGGGGAACCGGAAUUCGCGGUGUAGCAGUGAAAUGCGUAGAUAUCGAGAGGAACACUCGUGGCGAAGGCGGGUUCCUGGACAUUAACUGACGCUGAGGCACGAAGGCCAGGGGAGCGAAAGGGAUUAGAUACCCCGGUAGUC
Molecule: ribosomal RNA, 446 nt
Filed under: uncultured bacterium
Lineage: Bacteria
Description: partial 16S ribosomal RNA
Rfam family: Bacterial small subunit ribosomal RNA
Source: RNAcentral